Molecule: ribosomal RNA, 253 nt
Filed under: uncultured bacterium
Lineage: Bacteria
Description: partial 16S ribosomal RNA
Rfam family: Bacterial small subunit ribosomal RNA
Source: RNAcentral
CACGUAGGGCGCAAGCGUUGUCCGGAAUUAUUGGGCGUAAAGAGCUCGUAGGCGGUCUGUUACGUCUGCUGUGAAAACCCGGGGCUUAACCCUGGGCUUGCAGUGGAUACGGGCAGACUAGAGGCAGGUAGGGGAGAAUGGAAUUCCCGGUGUAGCGGUGAAAUGCGCAGAUAUCGGGAGGAACACCAGUGGCGAAGGCGGCGAUCUGGGAAGAUACUGACGCUGAGGUGCGAAAGCGUGGGGAGCAAACAGG